Bufo bufo (common toad) is the source of this 154-nucleotide long non-coding RNA. RefSeq lists it as uncharacterized. The transcript is spliced from 3 exons. The record is from RefSeq and is a predicted model, not a curated record. Lineage: Eukaryota; Metazoa; Chordata; Amphibia; Anura; Bufonidae.
CGGACACCUGAACGCAGGUGUGAAAGUAGCCUAACAUGGCACCCCAAAUAAGGAGACCUGCAGGCUGCAGCAGAUAUCCCAUGUGACAGGUCACCCCCAGGAAACUGUAGGUCAUAUAUAAAUUUAUUUAAUGGGGGUGUGGCACGGGAGGAGC